AAUGAGAAAGAGAUGAAUGUUAAUGGUGGAGUAGUAGUAGAGGUGAAAGAAGAACCAGUUAUAUUUAUUAAUGAUGAAGAUGACAUUAUUGGGGAUUCAGUACCAAAGCCUUUGGAUGGGUUGCGUGAUGUAGGUCCACCUCCGUUUUUGAAGAAGACGUUUGAAAUGGUGGAUGAUCCAAAUACCGACUCUAUAAUCUCAUGGAGUAACAGUCAAAACAGCUUUGUUGUUUGGGAUCCUCACAAAUUUUCAAUUCAUCUUCUACCUAAACAUUUUAAGCACAACAACUUCUCUAGCUUUAUCCGCCAGCUCAAUACCUAUCGUUUCAGGAAAAUUGAUUCAGAUAGAUGGGAAUUUGCAAAUGAGGGUUUUCAGAAAGGGAAAAAGCAUUUGCUGAUAAAUAUCAAGAGAAGAAAGCAGUAUCCUCAACUAGGAGGAGGAGGUGGUGGAGGAGCAAAAUCUUGGGUAGGAGGUUGUUGCAAGGAUGGAACUGAAGCAGCAGAGAUAGAAAAGCUGAAAAAGGAUCACAACACUUUGAAGAUGGAAAUUCUGAAGCUUAAACAGCAACAAGAGAGCACUGAUAACUAUUUAGCUACUAUGAAGGAGAGGUUACAGAAUAGUGAGAUUAAACAAAAGUAUAUGGUGAUCUUCCUGGCGAAAACGUUCCACAACCCUAUGUUUGUUCAACAUCUGAUUGAAAAGGUGAAACAGGGGAAGACAACAACGGUUGAGAAUGGGACCAAGAAGAGAAGGUUGUGUAGUGAUGAAAAUCAAGAGGAGUACACAACAAUUAAGUCGGAGAUACAAACACUCUUCUCUUGUGAUGAAUCGUCGAAUAGUCCAGUUGAGGAACAAAAAGGCAAGGGAAAUAACAGCAGCCCGGAGAUGGUAUCUGAGAACUAUAUAUUGUGGGAGAAGUUGAUGGAGGAUGACAUGAUUUGUGAGAAUGGAGCAGAAACAGAUAAGUAUCAAAGUGAGAUUGUUCUUGAACUAGAGGAUUUGAUCUCGAACCCAUCCGAGUGCAAGUGUAUGCCUUAAAUGAGCGAGAGUUAGGAUGGUCCAACAGAUAGCUAGCUUAAGAAAAUCACAAUGAAUGUUUUAUCAGUUGGUAGUAACUAACAAUGUAUAAAGGUUUUUACAGAAGAUGAAGAAAAUUAAGUAGUUUGAUAGGGGUUUGGUGAAGAGGAGAAUAUUGUAGAACAAGAAUAUGAAUGUUAGUUUCAUGCAUAGUAUUAGUAAAUAUA
Molecule: unclassified non-coding RNA, 1244 nt
Filed under: Hevea brasiliensis (rubber tree)
Lineage: Eukaryota; Viridiplantae; Streptophyta; Magnoliopsida; Malpighiales; Euphorbiaceae
Source: RNAcentral